Molecule: ribosomal RNA, 515 nt
Filed under: uncultured bacterium
Lineage: Bacteria
Description: partial 16S ribosomal RNA
Rfam family: Bacterial small subunit ribosomal RNA
Source: RNAcentral
UGGGGAAUAUUGGACAAUGGGGGCAACCCUGAUCCAGCCAUGCCGCGUGAGUGAUGAAGGCCUUCGGGUUGUAAAGCUCUUUUGGCGGGGACGAUGAUGACGGUACCCGCAGAAUAAGCCCCGGCUAACUUCGUGCCAGCAGCCGCGGUAAGACGAAGGGGGCUAGCGUUGUUCGGAAUUACUGGGCGUAAAGCGAGUGUAGGCGGUUGCCGUAGUCAGGUGUGAAAGCCUUGAGCUCAACUCAAGAAAUGCACUUGAUACUGGGUGACUAGAGGACCGGAGAGGAUAGUGGAAUUCCCAGUGUAGUGGUGAAAUACGUAGAGAUUGGGAAGAACACCAGUGGCGAAGGCGGCUAUCUGGACGGUUACUGACGCUAAGACUCGAAAGCGUGGGGAGCAAACAGGAUUAGAUACCCUGGUAGUCCACGCCGUAAAACGAUGGGUGCUAGACGUUGGCGAGCUUGCUCGUCAGUGUCGCAGCUAAACGCGUUAAGCACCCCCGCCUGGGGAGUACGG